Molecule: transfer RNA, 66 nt
Filed under: Ocydromia sp. DY-2020
Lineage: Eukaryota; Metazoa; Arthropoda; Insecta; Diptera; Hybotidae
Description: tRNA-Gly
Source: RNAcentral
AUUUAUAUAGUAUAAAAGUAUUUGUGACUUCCAAUUACAAGGUCUAUAUUAAUUAUAGUAUAAAUA